RNAcentral lists this ribosomal RNA (334 nucleotides) under uncultured eukaryote. RNAcentral describes it as "partial 18S ribosomal RNA". It matches the Rfam family "Eukaryotic small subunit ribosomal RNA", at positions 1470 to 1796 of the family's 1831-position model. The record is from RNAcentral.
CCCUUAGAUGUCCUGGGCCGCACGCGCGUUACACUGAUGCAUUCAACGAGCUUAUAACCUUGGCCGAGAGGCCUGGGCAAUCUUGUUAACGUGCAUCGUGAUAGGGAUAGAUUAUUGAAAUUAUUAAUCUUGAACGAGGAAUUCCUAGUAAACGCAGAUCAUCAAUCUGCAUUGAUUACGUCCCUGCCCUUUGUACACACCGCCCGUCGCUACUACCGAUUGGAUGGUUUAGCGAGAACUUUGGACCGGAGCUCGGGUGGUCAGCAAUGGCCGCCCGAGACAUACUGGGAAAUCGCUCCAGCUUGAUCAUCUAGAGGAAGUAAAAGUCGUAACA